This 63-nucleotide ribosomal RNA is filed under the name Scorpidium cossonii. Its description in RNAcentral is "partial 25S ribosomal RNA". It matches the Rfam family "Eukaryotic large subunit ribosomal RNA", at positions 1 to 62 of the family's 3401-position model. Lineage: Eukaryota; Viridiplantae; Streptophyta; Bryopsida; Hypnales; Amblystegiaceae. The record is from RNAcentral.
CAGACCUCUAAUCGGAAAAGACUACCCGCUGAGUUUAAGCAUAUCACUAAGCGGAGGAGAAGA